UACGUAGGCAGCGAGCGUUGUUCGGAGUUACUGGGCGUAAAGGGUGUGUAGGCGGUCCUCUAAGUUUGGUGUGAAAUCUCCCGGCUCAACCGGGAGGGUGCGCCGAAAACUGGGGGACUAGAGUGCGGGAUGGGAGAGUGGAAUUCCUGGUGUAGCGGUGAAAUGCGUAGAUAUCAGGAGGAACACCGGUGGUGUAGACGGCUCUCUGGACCGUAACUGACGCUGAGACGCGAAAGCGUGGGUAGCAAACAGG
This 253-nucleotide ribosomal RNA is filed under the name uncultured bacterium. RNAcentral describes it as "partial 16S ribosomal RNA". It matches the Rfam family "Bacterial small subunit ribosomal RNA", at positions 524 to 776 of the family's 1533-position model. The record is from RNAcentral.